Molecule: ribosomal RNA, 484 nt
Filed under: uncultured bacterium
Lineage: Bacteria
Description: partial 16S ribosomal RNA
Rfam family: Bacterial small subunit ribosomal RNA
Source: RNAcentral
AUUGAACGCUGGCGGCAGGCCUAACACAUGCAAGUCGAGCGGAUGAAGGGAGCUUGCUCCUGGAUUCAGCGGCGGACGGGUGAGUAAUGCCUAGGAAUCUGCCUGGUAGUGGGGGAUAACGUCCGGAAACGGGCGCUAAUACCGCAUACGUCCUGAGGGAGAAAGUGGGGGAUCUUCGGACCUCACGCUAUCAGAUGAGCCUAGGUCGGAUUAGCUAGUUGGUGGGGUAAAGGCCUACCAAGGCGACGAUCCGUAACUGGUCUGAGAGGAUGAUCAGUCACACUGGAACUGAAACACGGUCCAGACUCCUACGAGAGGCAGCAGUGGGGAAUAUUGGACAAUGGGCGAAAGCCUGAUCCAGCCAUGCCGAGUGUGUGAAGAAGGUCUUCGGAUUGUAAAGCACUUUAAGUUGGGAGGAAGGGCAGUAAGUUAAUACCUUGCUGUUUUGACGUUACCAACAGAAUAAGCACCGGCUAACUUCGUG